This 253-nucleotide ribosomal RNA is filed under the name uncultured bacterium. RNAcentral describes it as "partial 16S ribosomal RNA". It matches the Rfam family "Bacterial small subunit ribosomal RNA", at positions 524 to 776 of the family's 1533-position model. The record is from RNAcentral.
UACGUAGGGUGCGAGCGUUAAUCGGAAUUACUGGGCGUAAAGCGUGCGCAGGCGGUUUUGUAAGCCAGAUGUGAAAUCCCCGGGCUUAACCUGGGAAUGGCAUUUGGGACUGCAAGGCUGGAGUACGGCAGAGGAGACUGGAAUUCCUGGUGUAGCAGUGAAAUGCGUAGAGAUCAGGAGGAACACCAGUGGCGAAGGCGGCUCGCUGGGCUCUACCUGACGCUGAGGCGCGAAAGCGUGGGGAGCGAACCGG